RNAcentral lists this ribosomal RNA (494 nucleotides) under uncultured Proteiniphilum sp. RNAcentral describes it as "bacterial SSU rRNA". It matches the Rfam family "Bacterial small subunit ribosomal RNA", at positions 903 to 1382 of the family's 1533-position model. The record is from RNAcentral. Lineage: Bacteria; Pseudomonadati; Bacteroidota; Bacteroidia; Bacteroidales; Dysgonomonadaceae.
CCCGCUCAGAAACUACAAAGGAAUUGACGGGGCCCGCACAAGCGGAGGAACAUGUGGUUUAAUUCGAUGAUACGCGAGGAACCUUACCCGGGCUUGAAAUGCAUCUGACCGGCCUUGAAAGAGGUUUUCCCUUCGGGGCAGAUGUGUAGGUGCUGCAUGGUUGUCGUCAGCUCGUGCCGUGAGGUGUCGGCUUAAGUGCCAUAACGAGCGCAACCCUCAUCAUUAGUUACCAUCAGGUAAGGCUGGGGACUCUAAUGAGACUGCCAUCGUAAGAUGUGAGGAAGGUGGGGAUGACGUCAAAUCAGCACGGCCCUUACGUCCGGGGCGACACACGUGUUACAAUGGGUGGUACAAAGGGCAGCUACCUGGCGACAGGAUGCUAAUCUCCAAAACCACUCUCAGUUCGGAUCGGAGUCUGCAACUCGACUCCGUGAAGCUGGAUUCGCUAGUAAUCGCGCAUCAGCCACGGCGCGGUGAAUACGUUCCCGGGCCUU